This 253-nucleotide ribosomal RNA is filed under the name uncultured bacterium. RNAcentral's name for it is "partial 16S ribosomal RNA". It matches the Rfam family "Bacterial small subunit ribosomal RNA", at positions 524 to 776 of the family's 1533-position model. The record is from RNAcentral.
UACAGAGGGGGCAAGCGUUGUUCGGAAUUACUGGGCGUAAAGGGCGCGUAGGUGGCCUUCUAAGUCGAACGUGAAAUCCCUGGGCUCAACCCAGGAACUGCGUCCGAUACUGGAAGGCUUGAAUCCGGGAGAGGGAUGCGGAAUUCCAGGUGUAGCGGUGAAAUGCGUAGAUAUCUGGAGGAACACCGGUGGCGAAGGCGGCAUCCUGGACCGGUAUUGACACUGAGGCGCGAAAGCUAGGGGAGCAAACGGG